This is an RNA transcript of Phyllostomus hastatus (greater spear-nosed bat), 2493 nucleotides long. It is a transcript of the gene named acyl-CoA dehydrogenase family member 8, with no coding region annotated. The transcript is spliced from 12 exons. Lineage: Eukaryota; Metazoa; Chordata; Mammalia; Chiroptera; Phyllostomidae. The record is from RefSeq and is a predicted model, not a curated record.
GCCAAGCUGGGGCUUAGACAGCCGCGCUUGCUUACGCGCUUUCGGUCCUCUGCUGCUCCUGGAACUGCUGGAAUGUGGCGGAGCGGCUGCCGGCGCCUCGGGGCGUGGCUCUACUGCCCUCGCAAUGGUCUCCGGGUCCCCGCCGACAGCGGCCGCCGACGCUUGGUCUCCUGCAUCGACCCUUCCAUGGGACUAAAUGAAGAACAGAAAGGAUUCCAGAAAGUGGCCUUUGACUUUGCAGCCCGGGAGAUGGCUCCUCAUAUGGCAGAGUGGGACCAGAAGGAACUGUUCCCAGUGGACAUGAUGCGGAAGGCGGCUCAGCUAGGUUUCGGUGGGGUCUAUGUACAAACGGAUGUAGGUGGGUCGGGACUGUCACGGCUUGAUGCCUCUGUCAUCUUUGAAGCCUUGGCUACAGGCUGCACCAGCACCACAGCCUAUAUCAGCAUCCACAACAUGUGUGUCUGGAUGAUCGAUACCUUUGGAAAUGAGGAACAGAGGCACAGAUUUUGCCCACCACUCUGUACCAUGGAGAAGUUUGCUUCCUACUGCCUCACUGAGCCAGGAAGCGGGAGCGAUGCUGCCUCCCUUCUGACCUCAGCUAAACGACAAGGAGAUCAUUACAUCCUCAACGGCUCCAAGGCCUUCAUCAGUGGUGGAGGCGAGUCAGACAUCUAUGUGGUCAUGUGCCGAACAGGAGGGCCAGGACCCAAAGGCAUCUCAUGCGUCGUUGUUGAGAAGGGGACCCCUGGCCUCAGCUUUGGCAAGAAGGAGAAGAAGGUGGGGUGGAACUCGCAGCCAACCCGAGCAGUCAUCUUCGAAGACUGCGCCGUCCCUGUGGCCAGCAGAAUUGGGGACGAGGGGCAGGGCUUCCUCAUCGCCAUGAAAGGACUAAAUGGAGGGAGGAUCAACGUUGCUUCUUGUUCUCUCGGGGCUGCUCAUGCUUCAGUCAUUCUCACCCGAGACCACCUCAAUGUCCGGAAGCAGUUUGGAGAGCCUCUGGCCAGGAACCAGUACCUGCAGUUCAAACUGGCUGACAUGGCAACCAGGCUGGUGGCCUCAAGGCUGAUGAUCCGCAGUGCCGCAGUGGCCCUGCAGGAGGAACGGGAAGACGCAGUGGCCCUGUGCUCCAUGGCCAAGCUCUUUGCUACAGAUGAAUGUUUUGCUAUCUGCAACCAGGCCUUACAGAUGCACGGAGGCUACGGCUACCUGAAAGACUAUGCUGUUCAGCAGUAUGUGCGGGACUCCAGGGUCCACCAGAUACUGGAAGGAUCGUCAUUCCCGAGAAUCACCUGCAAGUGAUCUUACCCACUCGUGCAUUGUGGCACAUCUUUGGUGGAUUGGCAAGCACCAGCCCCACCGUCUUGUGCUGGCUGCCAAGGGCCCUGCCACCUCUCGGGUAAGAAGAGAGCCAGCAGUACUUGGGGAGGUUUCAGGCAUAGCUGGUAUGGUGGGCCAUUCAUCUUCCAAAUAUUUGUAUUUUCAUAGCUGAAAAAUUGUUUUCACUACUCUUUUCAAGCCUGACAUGGAUUUCUGGUCUUCCUGUAAACUCCAGCUGCUUGUCCCAAAACACACAGUGUUUCGGCUUUGCCACAGAUUCUCUGCUGUUGACCAGGAAACGCCCCUCUUGAGGAGAGUCAGUGUGAUGUGGCCAGAACCUUGGGCUGGCUUCCCUUUUUGUAAUAUUUAGGGAAUAUCUUUGGGCAAAAAUAAAAAUACUACCUAUCUCUUGCCAUCAGUUUUUUUUUUUUAGUUAUGAACACUCCCAUGGGUUUCCUUGGACAGUUCUCCUAUCAUAAAUCAAAACUCAACUUAAUCUGAGUUAUAGAUGUUAUGAGGUCAUGAUUUACAUGCACAGAGGAUAAAACUAUGUCGAUUUUGGCCUCUAGCUAUUUUAUUCUCUAAAACUGCAGGUCAGAAAUAUGUAUAUAGGCCCAUCUUCUGAAACACUCCUUUAGGGUCUGAUAACUGUUUUUUUAUUGUCACCAACUAUAAAGAGUCAGUAUGAAAAGUUUGUGGCAAAGCUUAAUGCAAUUUUCAUCACAAUGCUGUUAAAGCAUGUCUGCUUCUUUAGCCUAAGGGUAGAUGCAUUCAUUUUUCAAAGAUCAAAGUUUACUUUUUCUGCAUGAUUUUUUUGAGUCAUUAAAGACAGUCCCUGGCCACUUACUGACCCCCAACUGUGCCCUCUUUUCCUGACGUCUUUGUUUCUCCUGAUUGAGGAACAUUCCACUUCAUCAAGUGACACCCUGAAUUCUGUUUUCACCUGAGAAGCACUUACUGAGAGCCUCUCACAUGCCCGAUGAUGUGCUAGCUGACGGCCAGAGAUGGAUGUAAAAAAAGGACAUAGACAAGGAAAAUCACUUAUGUUUUGGGAGCCAAACCUACGUUUCAACAAGGCAUUUGGAUUUUCAUCCUCAGUGCUCUGAGAGACCAUCUGAUGGGGAUCAGAGUGAGACAAUUUGAUCAAAGCUUUAAGAUCAUUCUUGUUGUUUUGUG